RNAcentral lists this ribosomal RNA (996 nucleotides) under Chassainphorus buettikeri. RNAcentral describes it as "SSU rRNA". It matches the Rfam family "Eukaryotic small subunit ribosomal RNA", at positions 32 to 964 of the family's 1831-position model. Lineage: Eukaryota; Metazoa; Arthropoda; Insecta; Coleoptera; Elateridae. The record is from RNAcentral. RNAcentral also lists the same sequence under 1 other name.
UUGUCUCAAAGAUUAAGCCAUGCAUGUCUCAGUACAAGCCGAAUUAAGGUGAAACCGCGAAAGGCUCAUUAAAUCAGUUAUGGUUCCUUAGAUCGUACCCAUAUUUACUUGGAUAACUGUGGUAAUUCUAGAGCUAAUACAUGCAAACAGAGCUCCGACCGGAGACGGAAGGAGCGCUUUUAUUAGAUCAAAACCAAUCGGCUUCGGGCGCGAGCCCGUCGUCGUUCACUCUGGUGAAUCUGAAUAACUUUCUGCUGAUCGCACGGUCUAGCACCGGCGACGCAUCUUUCAAAUGUCUGCCUUAUCAACUGUCGAUGGUAGGUUCCGUGCCUACCAUGGUCGUAACGGGUAACGGGGAAUCAGGGUUCGAUUCCGGAGAGGGAGCCUGAGAAACGGCUACCACAUCCAAGGAAGGCAGCAGGCGCGCAAAUUACCCACUCCCGGCACGGGGAGGUAGUGACGAAAAAUAACGAUACGGGACUCAUCCGAGGCCCCGUAAUCGGAAUGAGUACACUCUAAACCCUUUAACGAGGAUCAAUUGGAGGGCAAGUCUGGUGCCAGCAGCCGCGGUAAUUCCAGCUCCAAUAGCGUAUAUUAAAGUUGUUGCGGUUAAAAAGCUCGUAGUCGAAUCUGUGUCUCGCGCCGCCGGUUCAUCGCUCGCGGUGUUUAACUGGCGUGUCCGCGAGACGUCCUGCCGGUGGGCUUAGCCCGCGAGGGCGGCCCAACUUUAAAUCCCGCCGCGGUGCUCUUCAUUGAGUGUCGAGGCGGGCCGGCACGUUUACUUUGAACAAAUUAGAGUGCUUAAAGCAGGCUAAAACUUCGCCUGAAUACUGUGUGCAUGGAAUAAUGGAAUAGGACCUCGGUUCUAUUUUGUUGGUUUUCGGAACCCCGAGGUAAUGAUUAAUAGGAACGGAUGGGGGCAUUCGUAUUGCGACGUUAGAGGUGAAAUUCUUGGAUCGUCGCAAGACGGACAGAAGCGAAAGCAUUUGCCAAAAA